This 814-nucleotide ribosomal RNA is filed under the name Escherichia coli. RNAcentral describes it as "partial 23S ribosomal RNA". It matches the Rfam family "Bacterial large subunit ribosomal RNA", at positions 436 to 1251 of the family's 2925-position model. Lineage: Bacteria; Pseudomonadati; Pseudomonadota; Gammaproteobacteria; Enterobacterales; Enterobacteriaceae. The record is from RNAcentral.
GUCUGAAUAUGGGGGGACCAUCCUCCAAGGCUAAAUACUCCUGACUGACCGAUAGUGAACCAGUACCGUGAGGGAAAGGCGAAAAGAACCCCGGCGAGGGGAGUGAAAAAGAACCUGAAACCGUGUACGUACAAGCAGUGGGAGCACGCUUAGGCGUGUGACUGCGUACCUUUUGUAUAAUGGGUCAGCGACUUAUAUUCUGUAGCAAGGUUAACCGAAUAGGGGAGCCGAAGGGAAACCGAGUCUUAACUGGGCGUUAAGUUGCAGGGUAUAGACCCGAAACCCGGUGAUCUAGCCAUGGGCAGGUUGAAGGUUGGGUAACACUAACUGGAGGACCGAACCGACUAAUGUUGAAAAAUUAGCGGAUGACUUGUGGCUGGGGGUGAAAGGCCAAUCAAACCGGGAGAUAGCUGGUUCUCCCCGAAAGCUAUUUAGGUAGCGCCUCGUGAAUUCAUCUCCGGGGGUAGAGCACUGUUUCGGCAAGGGGGUCAUCCCGACUUACCAACCCGAUGCAAACUGCGAAUACCGGAGAAUGUUAUCACGGGAGACACACGGCGGGUGCUAACGUCCGUCGUGAAGAGGGAAACAACCCAGACCGCCAGCUAAGGUCCCAAAGUCAUGGUUAAGUGGGAAACGAUGUGGGAAGGCCCAGACAGCCAGGAUGUUGGCUUAGAAGCAGCCAUCAUUUAAAGAAAGCGUAAUAGCUCACUGGUCGAGUCGGCCUGCGCGGAAGAUGUAACGGGGCUAAACCAUGCACCGAAGCUGCGGCAGCGACACUAUGUGUUGUUGGGUAGGGGAGCGUUCUGUAAGCCUG